This 90-nucleotide transfer RNA is filed under the name Candidatus Cloacimonadota bacterium. RNAcentral describes it as "Candidatus Cloacimonetes bacterium tRNA-Leu". It matches the Rfam family "tRNA". Rfam says of the family: Transfer RNA (tRNA) molecules are approximately 80 nucleotides in length. Lineage: Bacteria; Pseudomonadati; Candidatus Cloacimonadota. The record is from RNAcentral.
GCAGAAGUGGUGGAAUUGGCAGACACGCAAGACUAAGGAUCUUGUGCCCACUUAUCGGGUGUGCGGGUUCAAGUCCCGCCUUCUGCACCA